GCUGGAGCAUCUUGUGAUAAAUGUUUCUCCUGGUUUCCUGUAAUGGCAAGGGAAUCCUUUUGGAAAGUGUUUCUUCACUGAAAUAAGUUUGUUAAAUUUUGUUCUUUUUGCACUGUUAAAUAACAACAGAGAGGGUAGAAGAGCUAUAUUUUGUUUUGCUAUUUUGUUAACACUCUAAAGUAGCAGACUUUUUAAAGCAAGUGCAAUAAAAGCUUGCCAGAAUAAUUAGAGAAAGUAUUUUUUUUGUAGCUGCUGGCAGAAGUGAAGCAGAGCCAACCAGGAUUUCUUCCACCUACUUCAGCUGAAGAAAUAAAACCACACCAGAGCUGCUUUCCCAUGUGAAAUUGAAAAGACUCCACUUUUCAGCAGAACACGAAGCGUUACUAUGAAGACCAGAUGACUUUCUGAGAAUAUUAAGAUGCAUUUUCAUAACUGGACUCUCUGUCUCAGGGGAUUAUCUGACUUCUUCACCUCCUCCAGCUGUGAGAUCCCCCCUGCUUCUAUUAUUAUAUUCCAGGAGAAUCCUUUUUCAAUGGAACCUGCCUCUGUUAUGUGCUAUCUGAGAAAUUUCAUGCCCAAGGGGUGUGACAGGACAAGGAGAGGUGAUUUCAAGCUGAAAGAGGAAAGAUUUAAACUGCAUAUAAGAAAAAGAUUUUUAAGGAUUCAGAUGUUUUCUGACACCAUCGCGCUCCCUGGCACAGGAGGGAUGAAUGGAACAGAAGCUCAUGUGUGGAAGAUUACUGAUUUUUGUAGCAUUGCAGACAGGAGCUGCCAGCGGGGAAGCUAAUACAUGAGGGGCUGAGGAGUGAGUGCUUUAGGAGGAAACCAUCUAGAUCUCUCAGACAGCUCAGUGUGUAAUUCUGGUAAUACUAUGGACUCUUUUCAUUCCACCUUCUGUAAUAAUUUAUGAGAGCUAAGAGACUGUAGUUAGUAAUGGGUCUGCUAUGCCUAUUUUUCCUUGGAGCUAUAUCCUUAAUGGUAUUUUUAUACAAUAUUUUUUUGCCUUUGCGAGCUGUACUGUUUUGCUGUGUGCUCAAAGCCCAUUGGGGCACAGUGUGGGUGGCUGUGGGUGCUGUACCUGUGGCAAAGUAGGGAUAUCCCAAAGCUCUGGAGAAGGGGAGGAUGUGCCCGGGGCUCUCUCACAUUUCACCAGGAGUUGUUCUCUUCUCUUGAUAAAUAAAUACUGAGUAUUAGGGUUCACUAAUAUUCCAAUAUCAAGAUAAUUUUCUCUUGUCUUUGUACAACAUUCCAGUUCCUCACUAUGCCCCCACAGAACCAUACUUGAACACAAGGAUGGAGUCUAUAACUUGUCUGUAAGCAAAAAUGCCUGCCUUGUGACUACACAAGAAUCCAAACAGCAAAGUUAAAAUUUUCAUUAUUUUUAAACAGGUGGCAUCUUUCCAUUUUUCUUUUUCUUUUUUUUUCUUUUUUUUAUGGUAGUGAGAUGGGUGCUGAAUUUUAGCAUUAGUCUCAUGAAAGAUGGAUAGGGUUCAUUUUACUCAUUCAUCUUUUGUACUGCGCUGUCAUCUGCUACGUUGACUCAUUUUACACAUUUACUUUGAUGUCAUCAGGGCUAAAGGAAAAUUCGAUUCCAGAAAAGCAGAAUGAUAGGAAUUAGGUAACUUGUAGCUAUUGCCAGGUUGGAAUGAAGGGCUUUUCAAGGACCACCAGCAUAUGAAUAGGUUAACCUCGGAUGCACUGGUAGAAGAAAAGUGACCAGACAUAUUUUUAGCCUUUGGCAGCCAAGGAGAACAGAACCUCUGAAAACAGCAUGCCUGAAACUUAGAAUGAAAGAAUGUGUCAGGAAACUAGGCAAAUAUUACAGAGGGGAAGCUGAAAUUUUAGGAGAAAAGGACAAGGGGAAAGGCAGAGUCAAAAGUAGAGAUAUGCUUUUACCCUUUGUUUUUCUUCCAAGUUUAAGUUCCUAAAAGAACACUGUCCACAUGAGUAAAAAUGCCAGGUUGUUUGCAAAAGCCUGCCUCUGCAAAUUUGUGUUUUAUUGAUUCUGAAAGAAGGAGUUACUAAAUAGAUGCCUAUGUUCAUUUGAAGCAAGCUGGAGUUCCUGGAGAGAAUCGCGUGCUGUGAACAUGGCAACCAGCUCUGAUGCCCAAAGAUCUAAAACUGAAAUGGUGCUCCUGCCAGGGGAGGAUGGCCAAUAUCAAAAUGUGCAGCCUUCAAAAGGUUUUAGUUCUCGUUUAAAAUUCUAUCUCCUUUUACAGUGACCUUUAAUUAUUACACUGACCCUUAACUUGUGAACUGUACACUAGCUGAUAGUGCCUGGCCUCUGCUGAAACAUGUGCUGCUGCAGAAGUCUCAAGGCUUGACUGUGUUCACUCUCAAGAGGCUGUAAGUCAGCUUGAUAUACCUCUUCCAAAUGCAAUGUGUCUCUUAGUGUCAAGUUCAUGAGUCUAUGUAGCUUAGAAUAUCUUGUAU
Molecule: long non-coding RNA, 2433 nt
Organism: Tympanuchus pallidicinctus (lesser prairie-chicken)
Lineage: Eukaryota; Metazoa; Chordata; Aves; Galliformes; Phasianidae
Exons: 4
Source: RefSeq, a predicted model, not a curated record